RNAcentral lists this ribosomal RNA (253 nucleotides) under uncultured bacterium. RNAcentral describes it as "partial 16S ribosomal RNA". It matches the Rfam family "Bacterial small subunit ribosomal RNA", at positions 524 to 776 of the family's 1533-position model. The record is from RNAcentral.
UACGUAGGGGGCUAGCGUUGUCCGGAAUCAUUGGGCGUAAAGCGCGUGUAGGCGGUCCGGUAAGUCCGCUGUGAAAGUCGGGGGCUCAACCCUCGGAUGCCGGUGGAUACUGUCGGGCUUGAGUACGGAAGAGGCGAGUGGAAUUCCUGGUGUAGCGGUGAAAUGCGCAGAUAUCGGGAGGAACACCAGUGGCGAAGGCGGCUCUCUGGGCCCUACCUGACGCUGAGACGCGAAAGCGUGGGGAGCGAACCGG